Molecule: ribosomal RNA, 1554 nt
Filed under: Klebsiella variicola
Lineage: Bacteria; Pseudomonadati; Pseudomonadota; Gammaproteobacteria; Enterobacterales; Enterobacteriaceae
Description: bacterial SSU rRNA
Rfam family: Bacterial small subunit ribosomal RNA
Source: RNAcentral
ACUUAAAUUGAAGAGUUUGAUCAUGGCUCAGAUUGAACGCUGGCGGCAGGCCUAACACAUGCAAGUCGAGCGGUAGCACAGAGAGCUUGCUCUCGGGUGACGAGCGGCGGACGGGUGAGUAAUGUCUGGGAAACUGCCUGAUGGAGGGGGAUAACUACUGGAAACGGUAGCUAAUACCGCAUAACGUCGCAAGACCAAAGUGGGGGACCUUCGGGCCUCAUGCCAUCAGAUGUGCCCAGAUGGGAUUAGCUAGUAGGUGGGGUAACGGCUCACCUAGGCGACGAUCCCUAGCUGGUCUGUGAGGAUGACCAGCCACACUGGAACUGAGACACGGUCCAGACUCCUACGGGAGGCAGCAGUGGGGAAUAUUGCACAAUGGGCGCAAGCCUGAUGCAGCCAUGCCGCGUGUGUGAAGAAGGCCUUCGGGUUGUAAAGCACUUUCAGCGGGGAGGAAGGCGGUGAGGUUAAUAACCUCACCGAUUGACGUUACCCGCAGAAGAAGCACCGGCUAACUCCGUGCCAGCAGCCGCGGUAAUACGGAGGGUGCAAGCGUUAAUCGGAAUUACUGGGCGUAAAGCGCACGCAGGCGGUCUGUCAAGUCGGAUGUGAAAUCCCCGGGCUCAACCUGGGAACUGCAUUCGAAACUGGCAGGCUAGAGUCUUGUAGAGGGGGGUAGAAUUCCAGGUGUAGCGGUGAAAUGCGUAGAGAUCUGGAGGAAUACCAGUGGCGAAGGCGGCCCCCUGGACAAAGACUGACGCUCAGGUGCGAAAGCGUGGGGAGCAAACAGGAUUAGAUACCCUGGUAGUCCACGCUGUAAACGAUGUCGAUUUGGAGGUUGUGCCCUUGAGGCGUGGCUUCCGGAGCUAACGCGUUAAAUCGACCGCCUGGGGAGUACGGCCGCAAGGUUAAAACUCAAAUGAAUUGACGGGGGCCCGCACAAGCGGUGGAGCAUGUGGUUUAAUUCGAUGCAACGCGAAGAACCUUACCUGGUCUUGACAUCCACAGAACUUUCCAGAGAUGGAUUGGUGCCUUCGGGAACUGUGAGACAGGUGCUGCAUGGCUGUCGUCAGCUCGUGUUGUGAAAUGUUGGGUUAAGUCCCGCAACGAGCGCAACCCUUAUCCUUUGUUGCCAGCGGUCCGGCCGGGAACUCAAAGGAGACUGCCAGUGAUAAACUGGAGGAAGGUGGGGAUGACGUCAAGUCAUCAUGGCCCUUACGACCAGGGCUACACACGUGCUACAAUGGCAUAUACAAAGAGAAGCGACCUCGCGAGAGCAAGCGGACCUCAUAAAGUAUGUCGUAGUCCGGAUUGGAGUCUGCAACUCGACUCCAUGAAGUCGGAAUCGCUAGUAAUCGUAGAUCAGAAUGCUACGGUGAAUACGUUCCCGGGCCUUGUACACACCGCCCGUCACACCAUGGGAGUGGGUUGCAAAAGAAGUAGGUAGCUUAACCUUCGGGAGGGCGCUUACCACUUUGUGAUUCAUGACUGGGGUGAAGUCGUAACAAGGUAACCGUAGGGGAACCUGCGGUUGGAUCACCUCCUUACCUUAAAGAA